RNAcentral lists this ribosomal RNA (253 nucleotides) under uncultured bacterium. RNAcentral describes it as "partial 16S ribosomal RNA". It matches the Rfam family "Bacterial small subunit ribosomal RNA", at positions 524 to 776 of the family's 1533-position model. The record is from RNAcentral.
UACGGAGGGUGCAAGCGUUAUCCGGAUUCACUGGGUUUAAAGGGUGCGUAGGAGGGCAGGUAAGUCAGUGGUGAAAUCUCCAAGCUUAACUUGGAAACUGCCGUUGAUACUAUCUGUCUUGAAUACCGUGGAGGUGAGCGGAACAUGUCAUGUAGCGGUGAAAUGCUUAGAUAUGACAUAGAACACCAAUUGCGAAGGCAGCUCGCUACACGAAUAUUGACUCUGAGGCACGAAAGCGUGGGGAUCAAACAGG